AAUAGAUACCCCGGUAGUCCACGCCGUAAACGGUGGGUACUAGGUGUGGGUUUCCUUCCUUGGGAUCCGUGCCGUAGCUAACGCAUUAAGUACCCCGCCUGGGGAGUACGGCCGCAAGGCUAAAACUCAAAGAAAUUGACGGGGGCCCGCACAAGCGGCGGAGCAUGUGGAUUAAUUCGAUGCAACGCGAAGAACCUUACCUGGGUUUGACAUGCACAGGACGCCAGUAGAGAUAUUGGUUCCCUUGUGGCCUGUGUGCAGGUGGUGCAUGGCUGUCGUCAGCUCGUGUCGUGAGAUGUUGGGUUAAGUCCCGCAACGAGCGCAACCCUUAUCUUAUGUUGCCAGCGCGUAAUGGCGGGGACUCGUGAGAGACUGCCGGGGUCAACUCGGAGGAAGGUGGGGAUGACGUCAAGUCAUCAUGCCCCUUAUGUCCAGGGCUUCACACAUGCUACAAUGGCCGGUACAAAGGGCUGCGAUGCCGUGAGGUGGAGCGAAUCCUUUCAAAGCCGGUCUCAGUUCGGAUCGGGGU
Molecule: ribosomal RNA, 529 nt
Filed under: uncultured bacterium
Lineage: Bacteria
Description: bacterial SSU rRNA
Rfam family: Bacterial small subunit ribosomal RNA
Source: RNAcentral